CUCUCCUUCUGAUGAUCUAAGAACUUCACUUAAUUGACAAGUAAAAUAUACAACUUCAUCAUCUCUGUUUACCAAUUUCCCUACUUGGUAGCAGUCAACAAUAAGAAAUGAAAAAUUAUGCUUCUGUGAAACAGUUCAUUCUUCUGGGAUUAACAGAUGACCCAAAGCUAAAUGUUUUGAUUUUUAUAUUUCUAUUUUUUACAUAUAUACUGAGUAUAACUGGGAACCUGACAAUUAUUACUCUCACUUUGAUAGAUGUGCACCUCAAAACACCCAUGUACUUUUUCCUUAGGAAUUUCUCUUUUCUAGAAAUCUCAUUCACAACAGUUUGUAUUCCUAGGUUUCUGGUCAGCAUCGUAACAGGGGAUAAGACCAUUUCUUAUAAUUCUUGCAUGGCCCAGGUAUUUUUCUUUAUACUCCUUGGUUCAACAGAAUUUUUCCUUUUGACUGCUAUGUCCUAUGAUUGUUAUGUUGCUAUCUGUAAGCCACUGCACUACACAACAAUAAUGAACAGCAGAGUCUGCAUCCAGCUUGUAAUUAGCUCUUGGCUAGCUGGAUUUCUCAUUAUCUUUCCACCUGUAAUUAUGGGGCUUCAACUGGAUUUCUGUGACUCCAACAUCAUUGAUCACUUUACCUGUGAUUCCUCUCCUAUGCUACUGAUCUCCUGCACAGACACAGCGUUUCUAGAGUUCAUGGGAUUUUUCCUGGCCAUAUUCACUCUCAUGGUAACCUUAACAUUAGUGAUUCUUUCCUAUGUAUUCAUCCUUAAGACAAUCCUGAGAAUUCCUUCUGCUGAACAAAGGAAAAAGGCCUUUUCCACUUGUUCUUCACACAUGAUUGUUGUCUCCAUUUCUUAUGGAAGCUGCAUUUUCAUGUAUGUCAAAACAUCAGCAAAAGAAGGAGUGGCUUUGACCAAGGGUAUAGCAGUGCUCAAUACCUCUGUAGCCCCAGUGUUAAAUCCUUUUACUUACUCCCUAAGGAACCAGUAGGUAAAACAGUCUUUUCAGAACUUGAUCAAAAAAUGUUUUUCAAAUAAAUUUUAGUCACAAAGAAAUGUAUAGCCUGAACUUGAAAUGGAAACUUAUCUGUAGCAUAAUACUGACAUCGUUCUAUAUCUCCAUCCAAUACCAUUAAUAUAUUCAACUAUUUUUCCUUCAGGAUUUAUUCUUCUAUCCCAUUUUGACCUCACUUGGCUUCAUAACCCAUUUAUAUUUACAUGCUGUGAACAUUUAGGUGUUGUUUUAUUUGUUUUUUUGUUUGUUUGUUUUUUGUUGUUUGUUUUUUGAGAUGGAGUCUCACACUAUUGCAUGGGCUGGAGUGCAAUGGUGCCAACUCGGCUCACUGCAACCUCUGCCUCUUGGGUUCAAGUGAUUCUCCUGCCUCAGCCUCCUGAGGAGCUGGGAUUACAGGCUCCUGCCACCACGCCCAGCUAAUUUUUUGUAUUUUUAGUGGAGACAGGGUUUCACUAUGUUGGCCAGGCUGCAGAAUUUAGCUUUAAACAAUCAUUGAAAGACUUUCCCUUUGAUCCUAAGAAAAAAAUUUUUUUAAAAAGUUACCAUCAAGCAAUUCUGAAAAAUUAUUUAUCCCAGUGCAUUAGCACAAUGUACUAAAAUAAAUUCUUCUGUGAGAUGAAGUCUCCUACCUCUAGUAUAUUUAUAUUUCUCCUUUUAUCUCCCUUGGUUUUUGCAUUGUAAAUAGUAUAUUUAUAUUUCUCCUUUUAUCUCCCUUGGUUUUUGCAUUGUAAAUGUUUACAUAUGCUAUUUGGUACAUUGGCAUUCUAUAUCUUCAAUGUGAAUUCCAUUAUUUAAUAGUAUAAAAUAUCUUGCUUAAUGUCUUUUCUUGGCUCAAAUUCCAAAAUUACCUCAAGUCCGGUUCUGAUAUUUCUGUUAGGCCCCAGUACUCUCACCACAAAUCACCCUUAAUGAACUACACUGAUGAUAGCCCAUUUCUUUCUGUUAAUUUGCUGUUGCUGGGUCUGGAGUUUACCUGCAGCUCCUUUGAAAAGAAUCUGGCUUGCCUUUCUCUCUUUUGAUUUUACUAGCCCUUUAAACCCCUGUGCUUUCUAUCUCCCAAGUGGUUCUUAAAAUUUCUAGUAUACUAAUGAUACCCUCGAUUCUAUUUAUAUGGUUACAUUCUUUUAAAAAAGUUUUCAUUUUUUUAUGGACAAUGGAGAGUAUGGGAUUAAGUAUGUUUACACUGCCUGCGCCUUGAUAUAAACUUUUCCUAUAAGAGGUUCUUACUUAUACACUUGUAAGAAUAAAAAUUUGUUUAGUAUUUAUCAAUUUGCUUUUUUCCUGUCUUCUUCCACAAGCAAUGCAUGAACACAUGAAAUCAUUUAAGUUACUAUUGGAUCACUUUUCCUUAAUAUGUAUUCAAAUUCCUAGUUUUGGGGUUCUCUUUUCUCCCCCAUUUAAAAAAUGAGUUAUUCAAACAAGUAUUUGUAGAAAAAAGGUUACACGUAAUCAAAAGCAGGUGAAUGAAAACUAACACAUUCAAUCUGAGAGACAGUAUGAAUGUCUAAAUGUCUAAAAUAGCCAUAUGAUAUUUGCAUCUGUGAAUCUGAGCAAAAUGAUUUACUACAUCUGCUUAUAGGAAGUGUUUUGUUAAAUUGAUAAUAAGUUUAGUUAGAAUUGGUAAGAAUACUGGACUCCUUUAGGCAUCAUAGAGCUAAAUAUUCCAGCUAAUCAAAAAUUACGUUUUUAUUUCUCUUUGCUUUACAAAACUUUUUAUUUUUCUGGUAGUUGCUUAGCAGAUUCUAUGCAAAUCUGAAUUUAAUUUGCAUCUAUUGAUGUGGAUAUGGCUCAAGCAAUGUGAUGCUCAAUAAAGGCCAGAUCCUUCAGUUCAUGUGGGCAGAGAGAAAGGAUAUGCUGCAUAAUGUUUAACAACUAGUCCUCCAAAAAAUAGAAACCUGAUGUAAUUAUAAAUUUUAGUGUCAAUUCUAUAUACCCAGUUGAUUUUCAUGCAAUAUUUCAUUGACUUUUACCAAACUUAUGUUCAUAAGCAAUUUAUUUUUGCAACUCAACCACAGUUUGACAAAUGGAAUUGUAUUUCAAUCUGUGAACUCUUUUUCUAUAAGUUUAGUCAUUAAAUCUGAGAAUUAAUGAGUUUUGAAUUAUUAUAUUAAUUUUAAUUUCUUUAAUUACAAGUUUUUAUAAUUUAUGUUAGAAUUAUGUAUGACCUUUUAAAAUAACUGCUUGCCGAGAGUCCUAAAAACUAAAUGUUAUGGGAUCUUUAGAGUGUCACUUUUCUGGCUGGAAACCUCUGUGGCUGGUGGCACUUUUGCCUGAGUUCUUGCCCCACGUCCAGGAAGAAUGAGGUACGCAUACAAGUGGAGGGUGAACAAGAUGAAGAGAAGCUUUACUGAGUGACAGAACAGCUCAGAGGAGACCAGCAGCAGGCAGCUCCUCUCUGCAGACAGGUUGUCUCAUCCAGAGUUCAGCUCUCAGCAGAGAGGAGGCCCUGAAUUGGGUGGCUCCUCUCUGCACUCAGGUUGUCUAGUGGUCUCUGCAGCUCUCAGCAGAGUGAGUAGCUCCUCUCUUCAGCUGGUCCUCUAGUCAUCUCCAGCUAUCAGCAGAGAGGGUAGUUCCUCACUUCAACCAGUCCUCUGGCCAUCCUCUCCAUCCUCUGCCUCAUUCUGGCUGAGCCCAGGGCUUUUAUGGAACCCAGAGGAGAGGAAGUACAUGCAGAUUGGUCCAUGGGCAGCCAUCAGCAGCAGAAAAGUCACCACAAGUUCCCACUCCAGUCUGCGGUCUACAGGACUGGCAGCCCAGUGCCCAGCCUUCAGGCCAUCCCUGGACUGAAGGUGGGGCCUUACAGGGGCACCACUCCCUUCCUCCCAGGAGCCUGCCUGCCUACAGUAGCUAUCCAUGGCACCCAGGCUGCUGGCACCAAGGGGCACCUGCAAGCCAGCACCCAGCCACCCUCACCACCCUCUCAGCUUCUCCUCCUGUGCUCCUCUGCACCCAAAGUCCAGAGGGGGCCCAGUCCACUGGGGACUGGCAUGUCAGCCGUGCCCCAAGCGUGAGCACACCCGGCCAGACAGUGACAGUGCCUAGGUUGGCCCCAACACCACUCCGAGAUCUGAGCGGGCAUCGGGAGUGGGGAGAGGACAGCCAGCAGGAGCAGGCACCUCCGAGCCUGCAAAGGCAAAGGGAGCCUUCCCAGGUCAACCAAGAAUGCAGGGUUUGCUGGGCCUGCAGCCCGGGUUUGGGCGGCUACAGCCGUGCUGAGGGACCGGGCGCCUGCCUGCUCCAUGGAGCCAGAGUCCCAGGUCUACAGCCCGGGAUUAGGCGGGCACCCGGGAAGCUCCUGCCCCAACUCGGAAUGGACUGGGCUCUCACUUGUCCCGGACUCCCGCCGGCUCCACUGAGCGUGCACCUCCCUGUGGCACCUCCCUGCUGCAGCCGGCUUGAGGACAACAGCUGCUGCCAUCAUAAGCACUGUGGCAUUAUCCCGUAUACUCAAAAUUCAGAAUAAAAAGGGCUAUAUUAGAUCAUCGACCAAAAAGUGUACCCAUUCUACACCUCAAUUUAUUUUUUGUUCACUAUACACAUUAAACCAAUUUUCCAUCUUUCUUUAUGUCAUGCUACUACUAAAUGUACACUUUAAAGUAGUAUUUUGAUCUGCA
Long non-coding RNA from Homo sapiens (human), 4627 nucleotides. The record is from Ensembl. NCBI's taxonomy places the organism in Eukaryota, Metazoa, Chordata, Mammalia, Primates, Hominidae.